AAGGAUCAUUAAAGAAAAUGAUGAAUAAUUGGUAGAGGAGGAGUGAUCGAGCCUGCGCUUAAGUGCGCGGCGAGGUUGUUCUUUUUCGUUACGCCGAUAAUUCUUUACACACACUGGAGUUUUAUUUCUACAGUAUCGGAGGUAGCAAUACCGCCAAAACAAAACACAAACAAUUAUUUUUUAUUAUUUUAAUUUGUCAUUUCAAAAUCUGCUUUAUUGCAGUAACCAAAAUAUUCAAAACUUUCAACAACGGAUCUCUUGGUUCUCGCAUCGAUGAAGAACGCAGCGAAAUGCGAUACGUAAUGUGAAUUGCAGAAUUCCGUGAAUCAUCGAAUCUUUGAACGCACAUUGCGCCCCUUGGUAUUCCAGGGGGCAUGCCUGUUUGAGCGUCAUUUCCUUCUCAAAUACUUGUAUUUGGUUGUGAGUGACACUCAGUCUUGCAUUGAGUUAACUUGAAAUUGUUGGCCGUAGCGGUUGUUGCAGCUUAUAGUUUUUGUGUAAUGGUAUGAUUUCUUUACUAUUAAACAGGAUGCUUGAGCAUGUCGUAUUAGGUUUUACCAACUCCGGCAGACUCGGUAUCUUGGAAGAGCGUACUGGCAUUAGAACAUUGAACUGUCGACUGUGGCAAACAGUACUCUUUAAGUUUGACCUCAAAUCAGGUAGGAAUACCCGCUGAACUUAAGCAUAUCAAUAAGCGGAGGAAAAGAAACCAACCGGGAUUGCCUUAGUAACGGCGAGUGAAGCGGCAAAAGCUCAAAUUUGAAAUCUGGUACCUUCGGUGCCCGAGUUGUAAUUUGUAGAGGGCGACUUUGGGGCGGCUCCUUGUCUAUGUUCCUUGGAACAGGACGUCAUAGAGGGUGAGAAUCCCGUGUGGCGAGGAGUGCGGUUCCGUGUAAAGCGCUCUCGAAGAGUCGAGUUGUUUGGGAAUGCAGCUCUAAGUGGGUGGUAAAUUCCAUCUAAAGCUAAAUAUUGGCGAGAGACCGAUAGCGAACAAGUACAGUGAUGGAAAGAUGAAAAGAACUUUGAAAAGAGAGUGAAAAAGUACGUGAAAUUGUUGAAAGGGAAGGGCAUUUGAUCAGACAUGGUGUUUUGUGCCCCUCGCUCCUUGUGGGUGGGGGAAUCUCGCAGCUCACUGGGCCAGCAUCAGUUUUGGCGGUCGGAUAAAACCAGGGGAACGUAGCUUGCUUCGGGAAGUAUUAUAGCCUCUGGGAAUACGGCCAGCCGGGACUGAGGAACGCGAUCGU
This 1244-nucleotide ribosomal RNA is filed under the name Maudiozyma exigua. RNAcentral's name for it is "eukaryotic LSU rRNA". The stretch from base 646 to 1244 matches the Rfam family "Eukaryotic large subunit ribosomal RNA", at positions 1 to 602 of the family's 3401-position model. The record is from RNAcentral. Lineage: Eukaryota; Fungi; Ascomycota; Saccharomycetes; Saccharomycetales; Saccharomycetaceae.